RNAcentral lists this ribosomal RNA (1015 nucleotides) under uncultured Balsamia. RNAcentral describes it as "eukaryotic LSU rRNA". The stretch from base 678 to 831 matches the Rfam family "5.8S ribosomal RNA". Lineage: Eukaryota; Fungi; Ascomycota; Pezizomycetes; Pezizales; Helvellaceae. The record is from RNAcentral.
GUGAACUUGCGGAAGGAUCAUUAAUAUACAUGCRUGGGGCCUCUAACCUUGCCCCAUGCCGGAGCGCAAGUCCCAGUCGCAGCUCGCGGCACGGCCCCGGACCCCAAUUGGGCUCUUUUGCAAUUACUAUGAUGUGAACAAACACCCCUGGCUGGGGUCACCCCUCCGGGCCUGGCUGCUCAAACCUCACUAGCGAGGGGGUUGUCCGGUCCGCAACCAUGCAGGGCUCCCGUGUCGCGGGUGCAUCCCUCUCUAGGCUGCGUUCAACCAUCCGAGUCGUGCCAUGCACUUUAGCAGUGAUGGGGUCGUCCAGCCCAGAACCCUUGGUUCGCUGUUGCCAGUGACCGGCACCACCCCUCCCUGCCCAGCCCCGCCAACCAUCAGCGAGGGGGUCUCCCAGCCGUGAAAUCAAAGACAAAUAUUGAUAUGAGAGGGGUUCCAUCUAGCCCAGGGUCCGGUAAGACGUCCGCCUCGGCUGGGAUGCUCCGGAUUCCAUCCACCCUCACUGCGUAUCCAUCCACGUUGCUUCCCCGGGGCAGCAGCAAGCMUGCCCUGGCCAUCCCAUGCCCCUCAUCGACAUGUGGACCUGGGAGAUUCCCGGGGAAGGUACCACUCAAAAGCGCACAUGUGCAAAUCUCUGUCUGACAGGCCUCUGGCCUAUAACGCAAUCUUGCAAAAACUUUCAACAACGGAUCUCUUGGUUCUCGCAUCGAUGAAGAACGCAGCGAAUUGCGAUAAGUAAUGUGAAUUGCAGAAUUCAGUGAAUCAUCGAAUCUUUGAACGCACAUUGCGCCCCCUGGCAUUCCGGGGGGCAUGCCUGUUUGAGCGUCUCAUGCAUCAAUGCUCACAAAUGUUGUGGUGAUGGCUGAUGUGGCGGCUGCCCCAGGCAGCUUCACACAGCAGGAAAUCAUGGGCGGAAGUCACCUGCAGUCGGCGCGUAGUAUGUUCUUUCAAAGUCGCACUGAGCGCAGAGUGUGCCACCAGCCAUGGCCCGUCGAGGCUCCAUUAUCAAUCA